This 512-nucleotide ribosomal RNA is filed under the name uncultured Bacillota bacterium. RNAcentral's name for it is "bacterial SSU rRNA". It matches the Rfam family "Bacterial small subunit ribosomal RNA", at positions 392 to 896 of the family's 1533-position model. Lineage: Bacteria; Bacillati; Bacillota. The record is from RNAcentral.
CAACGCCGCGUGAACGAUGAAGGCCUUCGGGUCGUAAAGUUCUGUGUCAGGGAAGAACAAGUACCGGAGUAACUGCCGGUACCUUGACGGUACCUGACCAGAAAGCCACGGCUAACUACGUGCCAGCAGCCGCGGUAAUACGUAGGUGGCAAGCGUUGUCCGGAAUUAUUGGGCGUAAAGCGCGCGCAGGCGGUUCCUUAAGUCUGAUGUGAAAGCCCCCGGCUCAACCGGGGAGGGUCAUUGGAAACUGGGGAACUUGAGUGCAGAAGAGGAGAGCGGAAUUCCACGUGUAGCGGUGAAAUGCGUAGAGAUGUGGAGGAACACCAGUGGCGAAGGCGGCUCUCUGGUCUGUAACUGACGCUGAGGCGCGAAAGCGUGGGGAGCGAACAGGAUUAGAUACCCUGGUAGUCCACGCCGUAAACGAUGAGUGCUAAGUGUUAGAGGGUUUCCGCCCUCUAGUGCUGCAGCAAACGCAUUAAGCACUCCGCCUGGGGAGUACGGCCGCAAGGCUG